RNAcentral lists this ribosomal RNA (440 nucleotides) under uncultured bacterium. Its description in RNAcentral is "partial 16S ribosomal RNA". It matches the Rfam family "Bacterial small subunit ribosomal RNA", at positions 338 to 795 of the family's 1533-position model. The record is from RNAcentral.
CCUACGGGGGGCUGCAGUGGGGGAUAUUGCACAAUGGGGGAAACCCUGAUGCAGCGACGCCGCGUGAGGGAAGACGGUCCUCUGGAUUGUAAACCACUGUCCCCAGGGACGAAAAUGACGGUACCUGGGGAGGAAGCUCCGGCUAACUACGUGCCAGCAGCCGCGGUAAUACGUAGGGAGCGAGCGUUGUCCGGAAUUACUGGGUGUAAAGGGAGCGUAGGCGGGGAUGCAAGUUGGGUGUAAAAACUACCGGCUCAACUGGUAGUCGCACUCGAAACUGCAGCUCUUGAGUGAAGUAGAGGCAGGCGGAAUUCCUGGUGUAGCGGUGAAAUGCGUAGAUAUUAGGAGGAACACCAGUGGCGAAGGCGGCCUGCUGGGCUUUUACUGACGCUGAGGCUCGAAAGUGUGGGGAGCAAACAGGAUUAGAUACCCUAGUAGUC